GGGCUGGGUAAGACGGGUGCCAGCCGCCGCGGUAAUACCUGCAGCCCAAGUGGUGUCGAUUUUAUUGAGUCUAAAACGUUCGUAGCCGGUUCGGUAAAUCUUUGGGUAAAUCGGGGGGCUUAACCUCCCGACUUCCGAGGAGACUGCCGAACUUGGGACCGGGAGAGGCUAGAGGUACUUCUGGGGUAGGGGUAAAAUCCUGUAAUCCUAGAAGGACCACCGGUGGCGAAGGCGUCUAGCUAGAACGGAUCCGACGGUGAGGGACGAAGCCCUGGGUCGCAAACGGGAUUAGAUACCCCGGUAGUCCAGGGUGUAAACGCUGCAGACUUGGUGUUGGAGGCCCUUUGGGGGCAUUCAGUGCCGGAGAGAAGUUGUUAAGUCUGCUACUUGGGGAGUACGUCCGCAAGGAUGAAACUUAAAGGAAUUGGCGGGGGAGCACCCCAACGGGAGGAGCGUGCGGUUUAAUUGGAUUCAACACCGUAAAACUCACCAGGGAAGACUGUUACAUGAAGGCCGGGCUAAAGACUCUGCCAGAUUUUCAGAGAGGUGGUGCAUGGCCAUCGUCAGUUCGUACCGUAAGGCGUUCUCUUAAGUGAGAUAACGAACGAGACCCUCACCGAUAAUUGCUACUUAUCCCUCCGGGAGUAAGGCACAUUAUCGGGACCGCUGGCGCUAAGUCAGAUGAAGGAGAGGUCAACGGUAGGUCAGUAUGCCCCGAAUUUCCUGGGCUAAUGGCAAGGGCG
Molecule: ribosomal RNA, 743 nt
Filed under: dechlorinating enrichment culture KB-1
Lineage: Bacteria
Description: bacterial SSU rRNA
Rfam family: Archaeal small subunit ribosomal RNA
Source: RNAcentral